AUGAAAAUAGAAGGUAAGAUCAUGACAAUCACUAUGGAUAAUGCUUCCUCAAAUGAUAAUGCUGCUAAGAGAUUGAUGGACAAGAUCAUUGCUAGGAAAUCGGCUAAAUUUAUUCCUACGUACUUCCAUGUUCGCUGUUGUGCGCACAUUGUCAAUUUGAUAGAUGGCAUUGCUCUAUUGCAAACUUUGAUCAAUAAGCUUAGGGAUACUGUCAAGUAUUUGAAAAAAAUCUCCAACACGCAUGUACAAAUUGUUGAUGAUUUGCAAGUCUCCGAAUAUGGAAGUUGGGAGAGGUUUAUGCCUGGAUGUUGCUACUAG
This 318-nucleotide ribosomal RNA is filed under the name Triticum aestivum (bread wheat). RNAcentral's name for it is "partial small subunit ribosomal RNA". The record is from RNAcentral. Lineage: Eukaryota; Viridiplantae; Streptophyta; Magnoliopsida; Poales; Poaceae.